UGUCCAUUAUUCUGACGGGACAGAGCCGAAGCUAAUACCUCACACCCGCGCAAAAACGCAAGAGGCGUGAACCUCCGCUGCGGAGAGAUAAGACCACCCAUCGUUUUGCCGACACCUCUAAUCCCAGGGCAUAGAGAGCCAACUGUACGUCAGUCUCGACAGAAAGAAAGCACCGCUUACGUAAUUUCCGCCCUCCGGCUUGUCCCGAUAUGAGGCAGGCAGAUGCUCAAGGUAUAGUGCCUGAAAGAAGAAGUGCGGGGUAGGUUCGCGUCCAGCUAGUGGAAGAUAAUAGGUCGGCCCCCAGCGUAUCCCCGGAGUGAGGGCGCAGUAAAGAAGUAGGUAAGCGGGUGCGUCAAUUCUGUGUGAAACCGUCGAGAUUCGCCCUUAUCCUUAGAUCAGCUACGGCCGAGUCGAGUUUCCUAGGCGCCUCCUGAAGUUUCUGGUGUAGAGCUGGAGGGGCAGACUGAGGAGGAACACCGAUGUCGAAGGCAGGUCACUGGGCGCCACUGACGGUGAGGCGCGAAAGCAUGGGAGCGAACAGGAUUAGAUAUCUUAGUCGUCCAUCCCGUGAACGUUGGGCACUAGGUGUGGGGUUCAUUACACGAGGUGCGCGCCGCAGCUAACGCAUUAAGUGCCCCGCUUGGGGAGUACGGCCGCAAGGCUAAAACUCAAAGGAAUUGACGGGGGCCCGCACAAGCGGCGGAGCAUGCGGAUUAAUUCGAUGCAACGCGAAGAACCUUACCAAGGCUUGACAUACACCGGAAUCAUGCAGAGAUGUGUGCGUCUUCGGACUGGUGUACAGGUGGUGCAUGGUUGUCGUCAGCUCGUGUCGUGAGAUGUUGGGUUAAGUCCCGCAACGAGCGCAACCCUCGUCCUAUGUUGCCAGCACGUUAUGGUGGGGACUCAUAGGAGACUGCCGGGGUCAACUCGGAGGAAGGUGGGGAUGACGUCAAAUCAUCAUGCCCCUUAUGUCUUGGGCUUCACGCAUGCUACAAUGGCCGGUACAAAGGGCUGCGAUACCGCGAGGUGGAGCGAAUCCCAAAAAGCCGGUCUCAGUUCGGAUUGGGGUCUGCAACUCGACCCCAUGAAGUCGGAGUCGCUAGUAAUCGCAGAUCAGCAACGCUGCGGUGAAUACGUUCCCGGGCCUUGUACACACCGCCCGUCAAGUCACGAAAGUCGGUAACACCCGAAGCCGGUGGCCUAACCCCUUGUGGGAUGGAGCCGUCGAACGGUGUAUGACGGGAAGUCG
RNAcentral lists this ribosomal RNA (1249 nucleotides) under uncultured bacterium. RNAcentral's name for it is "partial 16S ribosomal RNA". The stretch from base 276 to 1249 matches the Rfam family "Bacterial small subunit ribosomal RNA". The record is from RNAcentral.